Molecule: unclassified non-coding RNA, 354 nt
Filed under: soil metagenome
Description: partial contains 5.8S ribosomal RNA, internal transcribed spacer 2, and large subunit ribosomal RNA
Rfam family: 5.8S ribosomal RNA (bases 1-120)
Source: RNAcentral
GAUGAAGAACGUAGUGAAAUGCGAUAAGUAAUGUGAAUUGCAGAAUUCAGUGAAUCAUCGAAUCUUUGAACGCACAUUGCGCCCACUAGUAUUCUGGUGGGCAUGCCUGUUCGAGCGUCAUUUCAACCCUCAAGCCUUAGUUGCUUGGUGUUGGGAGCUUAUCUUGCCGAAAGGCGGACAACUCCUUAAAACUAUUGGCGGAGUCGCGGUGACCCCAAGCGUAGUAAAUUUUUUUUUUCUCGCUUUAGGUGUUAACGCUGGCUUUCUAGCCGUUAAACCCUCUAAAUUUUUAGUGGUUGACCUCGGAUCAGGUAGGACUACCCGCUGAACUUAAGCAUAUCAAUAAGCGGAGGA